AAGCAAACAAAAAUCACUAUUGCAUGCUAGAUUUAAGGCAACGGCUAUUUUGCAACGGUUAUCAAACAACUACUUUAUGUUAUAACGACGGAGGGAAAUGCAAUGGUUCUCAAAUCACUACCAUUAACUUAUGAUUACAGUUGCAUUAUGUAGUAGUGAAUAAAAGGUAACUCUCUCAAGUAACGAGUCCAUCAAGCAACAUCAUACCUGCUGUACGGUCAUUCCAUUAAGGUAGCCUGAGAUAUGCUCUUCUUUGAGCGAAGAUUCUUGUGGACCAUAGAUGGAGGGAUUCAGUUUGCUUACAGGAGGAAAAAUCUUAAGCAUUUCGAUGCUUAAAGGGUUUAAACCUCUAAGUGUUAAACGACCAAACUCAUCAUCUCGCAAGCAGCAAGACGCUCCCCCUGAAAGAGAUAUGCCAUUUGGAGGGUCAAAUUUGUAUAUUUCUUU
Molecule: unclassified non-coding RNA, 447 nt
Filed under: Hevea brasiliensis (rubber tree)
Lineage: Eukaryota; Viridiplantae; Streptophyta; Magnoliopsida; Malpighiales; Euphorbiaceae
Source: RNAcentral